Molecule: ribosomal RNA, 574 nt
Filed under: uncultured bacterium
Lineage: Bacteria
Description: partial 16S ribosomal RNA
Rfam family: Bacterial small subunit ribosomal RNA
Source: RNAcentral
UGGGGAAUUUUGGACAAUGGGCGAAAGCCUGAUCCAGCAAUGCCGCGUGUGUGAAGAAGGCCUUCGGGUUGUAAAGCACUUUUGUCCGGAAAGAAAUCCUUGGCUCUAAUACAGUCGGGGGAUGACGGUACCGGAAGAAUAAGCACCGGCUAACUACGUGCCAGCAGCCGCGGUAAUACGUAGGGUGCAAGCGUUAAUCGGAAUUACUGGGCGUAAAGCGUGCGCAGGCGGUUUGCUAAGACCGAUGUGAAAUCCCCGGGCUCAACCUGGGAACUGCAUUGGUGACUGGCAGGCUAGAGUAUGGCAGAGGGGGGUAGAAUUCCACGUGUAGCAGUGAAAUGCGUAGAGAUGUGGAGGAAUACCGAUGGCGAAGGCAGCCCCCUGGGCCAAUACUGACGCUCAUGCACGAAAGCGUGGGGAGCAAAACAGGAUUAGAUACCCUGGUAGUCCACGCCCUAAACGAUGUCAACUAGUUGUCGGGGUCUUCAUUGACUUGGUAACGUAGCUAACGCGUGAAGUUGACCGCCUGGGGAGUACGGUCGCAAGAUUAAAACUUAAAUGAAUUGACGGGGUC